AGAGGGAUGCAACACGAGGACUUCCCGGGAGGUCACCCAUUGUAGUACUACUCUCGCCCAAGCACGCUUAACUGCGGAGUUUUGAUGGGAUCCAGUAUAUUAGUGCUCGUAUGAUCGCAUCCGUUAGUAUAUGCAAUGCAAUCGUAUAUAUUCUUUUUUGAAGACUUGAUGAACCAUUCGUCAUGGGUCCCACCCGCUAUGUAGGGAUACGCCAUCUAGUCUUAACGAGCUUUGAUGCAUGAAAAAAUUCUAGAACAAUGCUUUAACAAGUAAUUUUGGGUCUGUAAUAUAACCCAAAUCACAAAAAUGCCCAAAAAAGUACUUAAAGGUCAAAAUUUGGGGUUGACAAAAAGUCAAUAAAAUAGUUCCAUUGUCCUGCUUCUUUCGUUGGAAGGCUCUCUUUGGGCUUUCUGAAAGGUAGCACAUGCCAAGUUUGACCUCACGGUAUAAAAGUUAUAGAGUCAUAAAGUUUUAACCAAAAAAAAAAUAAAUUAAAAAAAAGAGGGAUGCAACACGAGGACUUCCCGGGAGGUCACCCAUCCUAGAACAACUCUCCCCCAAGCACGCUUAACUAAAGGUCAAAAUUUGGAGUCGACAAAAAACAAUGGAUAUGUUCCAUUGUCCUGCUUCUUUCAUUUGAGGGCUCUCUUUGGGCUUUACGAAAAGGUAUCAAAUGCCAAGUUUGGCCUCACUGUAUAAAAGUUAUAGAGUCAUACAGUUUUAAUCAAAGAAAAAAAUUUAAAAAAAAAAAAGAAUGAAACACGAGGACUUCCCGGGAGGUCACCCAUACUAGUACUACUCUCACCCAAGCACGCUUAACUGCGGUGUUCUGAUGGGAUCCGGUGUAUUAGUGCUUUUAUGAUCGCAUCCGUUAGUAUAUGCAAUGCAAUCGUAUAUAUUCUUUUUUAAAGACUUGAUGAACCAUUCGCCAUGGGUUCCACCCGCUAUGUAGGGAUACCCCAUCUAUUUUUAACGAGCUUUGAUGCAUGAAAAAAUUCUAAAACAAUGCUUGAACAAGUAAUUUUGGGUCCGUAAUAUAGCCCAAAUCACAAAAAUGCUCGAAAGAGUACUUAAAGGUCAAAAUUUGGGAUCGACAAAAAGUCAAUGGAAAAGUUCCUUUGUCCUGCUUCUUUCGUCGGAGGGCUCUCUUUGGGCUUUACGAAAAGGUAUCACAUGCCAAGUUUGGCCUCACGGUAUAAAAGUUAUAGAAUCAUAAAGUUUUAACCAAAAAAAACAAAUUAAAAAAAAAAGGGAUGCAACACGAGGACUUCCCGGGAGGUCACCCGUCCUAGUACUACUCUCCCCCAAGCACGCUUAACUAAAGGUCAAAAUUUGGAGUUGACAAAAAAUCAAUGGAUAUGUUCCAUUGUCCUGCUUCUUUCAUCGGAUGGCUCUCUUUGGGCUUUUCGAAAAGGUAUCACAUGCCAAGUUUGGCCUCACUGUAUAAAAGUUAUAGAGUCAUAAAGUUUUAAUCAAAGAAAAAAAAAUUUAAAAAAAGAGGGAUGCAACACGAGGACUUCCCAGGAGGUCACCCAUCGUAGUACUACUCUCGCCCACGCACGCUUAACUGCGGAGUUCUGAUGGGAUACGGUGUAUUAGUGCUGGUAUGAUCGCAUCUGUUAGUAUAUGCAAUGCAAUUGUAUAUAUUGUUUUUUGAAGACUUGAUGAACCAUUCGCCGUGGGUCCCACCCGCUAUGUAGGGAUACCCCAUCUAGUCUUAACGAGCUUUGAUGCGUCAAAAAAAUCUAAAACAAUGCUUGAACAAGUAAUUUUGGGUCCGUACUAUAGCCCAAAUCACAAUAAUGCCCGAAAAAGUACUUAAAUGUCAAAAUUUGGGAUCGACAAAAAGUCAAUGGAAAGGUUCCAUUGUCCUGCUUCUUUCGUCGGAGGGCUCUCUUUGGGCUUUCCAAAAAGGUAUCACAUGCUAAGGUUGGCCUCACGGUAUAAAAGUUAUAGAGUCAUAAAGUUUUACCAAAAAAAAAACAAAUUAAAAAAAAGAGGGAUGCAACACGAGGACUUCCCGGGAGGUCACCCAUCCUGGAACAACUCUCGCUCAAGCACGCUUAACUAAAGGUCAAAAUUUGGAGUCGACAAAAAAUCAAUGGAUAUGUUCCAUUGUCCGACUUCUUUCAUCAGAGGACUCACUUUGGGCUUUACGAAAAGGUAUCACAUGCCAAGUUUGGCCUCACUGUAUAAAUGUUAUAGAGUCAUAAAGUUUUAAUCAAAAAAAACAAUUAAAAAAAAAGAGGGAUGAAACAUGAGGACUUCCCGCGAGGUCACCCAUCCUAGUACUACUCUCACCCAAGCACGCUUAACUGCGGUGUUCUGAUGGGAUUCGGUGUAUUAGUGCUUGUAUGAUCGUAUCCGUUAGUAUAUGCAAUGCAAUCGUAUAUAUUCUUUUUUGAAGACUUGAUGAACCAUUCGCCAUGGGUUCCACCCGCUAUGUAGGGAUACCCCAUCUAUUCUUAACGAGCUUUGAUGCAUGAAAAAAUUCUAAAACAAUGCUUGAACAAGUAAUUUUGGGUCCGUAAUAUAGCCCAAAUCACAAAAAUGCUCGAAAGAGUACUUAAAGGUCAAAAUUUGGGGUCGACAAAAAGUCAAUGGAAAAGUUUCUUUAUCCUGCUUCUUUCGUCGGAGGGUUCUCUUUGGGCUUUACGAAAAAGUAUCACAUGCCAAGUUUGGCCUCACGGUAUAAAAGUUAUAGAGUCAUAAAGUUUUAACCAAAAAAAACAAAUUAAAAAAAAAGAGGGAUGCAACACGAGGACUUCCCGGGAGGUAACCCAUCCUAGUACUACUCUCUCCCAAGCACGCGUAACUAAAGGUCAAAAUUUAGAGUUGACAAAAUAUCAAUGGAUAUGUUCCAUUGUCCUGCUUCUUUCAUCGGAUGGCUCUCUUUGGGCUUUUCGAAAAGGUAUCAUAUGCCAAGUUUGGCCUCACUGUAUAAAAGUUAUAGAGUCAUAAAGUUUUAACCAAAGAAAAAAAUUAAAAAAAAAGAGGGAUGCAACACGAGGACUUUCCAGGAGGUCACCCAUCGUAGUACUACUCUCGCCCAAGCACGCUUAACUGCGGAGUUCUGAUGGGAUCCGGUGUAUUAGUGCUGGUAUGAUCGCAUCCGUUAGUAUAUGCAAUGCAAUCGUAUAUAUUCUUUUUUGAAGACUUGAUGAACCAUUCGCCGUGGGUCCCACACGCUAUGUAGGGAUACCCCAUCUAGUCUUAACGAGCUUUGAUGCGUGAAAAAAUUCUAAAACAAUGCUUGAACAAGUAAUUUUGGGUCCGUAAUAUAGCCCAAAUCACAAAAAUGCCCAAAAAAGUACUUAAAGGUCAAAAUUUGGGGUCGACAAAAAGUCAAUGGAAUUGUUCCAUUGUCCUGCUUCUUUCGUUAGAGGGCUCUAUUUGGGCUUUCCAAAAAGGUAUCACAUGCUAAGGUUUGCCUCACGGUAUGAAAGUUAUAGUCAUAAAGUUUUAACCAAAAAAAAACAAAUUAAAAAAAAGAGGGAUGCAACACGAGGACUUCCCGGGAGGUCACCCAUCCUAGAACAACUCUCCCCCAAACACGCUUAACUAAAGGUCAAAAUUUGGAGUCGACAAAAAAUCAAUGGAUAUGUUCCAUUGUCCUGCUUCUUUCAUUUGAGGGCUCUCUUUGGGCUUUACGAAAAGGUAUCAAAUGCCAAGUUUGGCCUCACUGUAUAAAAGUUAUAGAGUCAUAAAUUUUAAUCAAAGAAAAAAAUUAAAAAAAAAAAGAGGGAUGAAACACGAGGACUUCCCGGGAGGUCAACCAUCCUAGUACUACUCUCACCCAAGCACGCUUAACUGCGGUGUUCUGAUGGGAUCCGGUGUAUUAGUGCUUGUAUGAUCGCAUCCGUUAGUAUAUGCAAUGCAAUCGUAUAUAUUCUUUUUUGAAGACUUGAUGAACCAUUCGCCAUGGGUUCCAUCCGCUAUGUAGGGAUACCCCAUCUAUUCUUAACGAGAUUUGAUGCAUGAAAAAAUUCUAAAACAAUGCUUAAACAAGUAAUUUUAGGUCCGUAAUAUUGCCCAAAUCACAAAAAUGCUCGAAAGAGUACUUAAAGGUCAAAAUUUGGGGUCGACAAAAAGUCAAUGGAAAAGUUCCUUUGUCCUGCUUCUUUCGUCGGAGGGCUCUCUUUGGGCUUUACGAAAAGGUAUCACAUGCCAAGUUUUGCCUCACAGUAUAAAAGUUAUUGAGUCAUAAAGUUUUAACCAAAAAAAACAAAUUAAAAAAAAGAGGGAUGCAACACGAGGACUUCCCGGGAGGUCAUCAUCCCAGUACUACUCUCCCCCAAGCACGCUUAACUAAAGGUCAAAAUUUGGAGUUGACAAAAAAUCAAUGGAUAUGUUCCAUUGUCCUGCUUCUUUCAUCGGAGGGCUCUCUUUGGGCUUUUCGAAAAGGUAUCACAUGUCAAGUUUGGCCUCACUAUAUAAAAGUUCUAGAGUCAUAAAGUUUUAACCAAAGAAAAAAAUUAAAAAAAAAGAGGGAUGCAACACGAGGACUUCCCAGGAGGUCACCCAUCGUAGUUCUACUCUCGUCCAAGCACGCUUAACUGCGGAGUUCUGAUGGGAUCCGGUGUAUUAGUGCUUGUAUGAUCGCAUCCGUUAGUAUAUGCAAUGCAAUCGUAUAUAUUCUUUUUUGAAGACUUGAUGAACCAUUCGCCAUGGGUUCCACCCGCUAUGUAGGGAUACCACAUCUAUUCUUAACGAGCUUUGAUGCAUGAAAAAAAUCUAAAACAAUGCUUGAACGUGUAAUUUUGGGUCCGUAAUAUAGCCCAAAUCACAAAAAUGCUCGAAAGAGUACUUAAAGGUCAAAACUUAGGGUCGACAAAAAGUCAAUGGAAAAGUUCCUUUGUCCUGCUUCUUUCGUCGGAGGGCUCUAUUUGGGCUUUCCAAAAAGGUAUCACAUGCUAAGGUUGGCCUCACGGUAUAAAAGUUAUAGAGUCAUAAAGUUUUAACCAAAAAAAGACAAAUUAAAAAAAAGAGGGAUGCAACACGAGAAUUUCCCGGGAGGUCACCCAUCCUAGAACAACUCUCGCCCAAGCGCGGUUAACUAAAGGUCAAAAUUUGGAGUCGACAAAAAAUCAAUGGAUAUGUUCCAUUGUCCUGCUUCUUUCAUUUGAGGGCUCUCUUUGGGCUUUACGAAAAGGUAUCACAUGUCAAGUUUGGCCUCACUAUAUAAAAGUUAUAGAGUCAUAAAGUUUUAAUCAAAGAAAAAAAUAAAAAAAAAAUAGAGGGAUGAAACACGAGGACUUCCUGUGAGGUCACCCAUCCUAGAACUACUCUCACCCAAGCACGCUUAACUGCGAUGUCCUGAUGGGAUCCGGUGUAUUAGUGCUUGUAUGAUCGCAUCCGUUAGUAUAUGCAAUGCAAUCGUAUACCUUUUUUUUUGAAGACUUGAUAAACCAUUCGCCAUGGGUUCCACCCGCUAUGUAGGGAUACCCCAUCUAUUCUUAACGAGCUUUGAUGCAUGAAAAAAUUCUAAAACAAUGCUUGAACAAGUAAUUUUGGGUCCGUAAUAUAGCCCAAAUCACAAAAAUGCCCGAAAAAGUGCUUAAAGGUCAAAAUUUGGGGUCGACAAAAAGUCAAUGGAAAUGUUCCAUUGUUCUGCUUCUUUCGUCGGAGGGCUAUCUUUGGGCUUUCCAAAAAGGUAUCACAUCCCAAGUUUGGCCUCACGGUUUAAAAGUUAUAGAGUCAUAAAGUUUUAACAAAAAAAAACAAAUUAAAAAAAAAGAGGGAUGCAACACGAGGACUUCCCGGGAGGUCACCCAUCCUAGAACAACUCUCGCCCAAGCGCGGUUAACUAAAGGUCAAAAUUUGGAGUCGACAAAAAAUCAAUGGAUAUGUUCCAUUGUCCUGCUUCUUUCAUUUGAGGGCUCUCUUUGGGCUUUACGAAAAGGUAUCACAUGUCAAGUUUGGCCUCACUGUAUAAAAGUUAUAGAGACAUAAAGUUUUAAUCAAAGAAAAAAAUAAAAAAAAAAUAGAGGGAUGAAACACGAGGACUUCCUGUGAGGUCACCCAUCCUAGAACUACUCUCACCCAAGCACGCUUAACUGCGAUGUCCUGAUGGGAUCCGGUGUAUUAGUGCUUGUAUGAUCGCAUCCGUUAGUAUAUGCAAUGCAAUCGUAUACCUUUUUUUUUGAAGACUUGAUAAACCAUUCGCCAUGGGUUCCACCCGCUAUGUAGGGAUACCCCAUCUAUUGUUAACGAGCUUUGAUGCAUGAAAAAAUUCUAAAACAAUGCUUGAACAAGUAAUUUUGGGUCCGUAAUAUAGCCCAAAUCACAAAAAUGCCCGAAAAAGUGCUUAAAGGUCAAAAUUUGGGGUCGACAAAAAGUCAAUGGAAAUGUUCCAUUGUUCUGCUUCUUUCGUCGGAGGGCUAUCUUUGGGCUUUCCAAAAAGGUAUCACAUCCCAAGUUUGGCCUCACGGUUUAAAAGUUAUAGAGUCAUAAAGUUUUAACAAAAAAAAACAAAUUAAAAAAAAAGAGGGAUGCAACACGAGGACUUCCCGGGAGGUCACCCAUCCUAGAACAACUCUCGCCCAAGCGCGGUUAACUAAAGGUCAAAAUUUGGAGUCGACAAAAAAUCAAUGGAUAUGUUCCAUUGUCCUGCUUCUUUCAUUUGAGGGCUCUCUUUGGGCUUUACGAAAAGGUAUCACAUGUCAAGUUUGGCCUCACUGUAUAAAAGUUAUAGAGACAUAAAGUUUUAAUCAAAGAAAAAAAUAAAAAAAAAAUAGAGGGAUGAAACACGAGGACUUCCUGUGAGGUCACCCAUCCUAGAACUACUCUCACCCAAGCACGCUUAACUGCGAUGUCCUGAUGGGAUCCGGUGUAUUAGUGCUUGUAUGAUCGCAUCCGUUAGUAUAUGCAAUGCAAUCGUAUACCUUUUUUUUUGAAGACUUGAUAAACCAUUCGCCAUGGGUUCCACCCGCUAUGUAGGGAUACCCCAUCUAUUGUUAACGAGCUUUGAUGCAUGAAAAAAUUCUAAAACAAUGCUUGAACAAGUAAUUUUGGGUCCGUAAUAUAGCCCAAAUCACAAAAAUGCCCGAAAAAGUGCUUAAAGGUCAAAAUUUGGGGUCGACAAAAAGUCAAUGGAAAUGUUCCAUUGUCCUGCUUCUUUCGUCGGAGGGCUAUCUUUGGGCUUUCCAAAAAGGUAUCACAUCCCAAGUUUGGCCUCACGGUUUAAAAGUUAUAGAGUUAUAAAGUUUUAACCAAAAAAAAACAAAUUAAAAAAAAAGGAUGCAACACGAGGACUUCCCGGGAGGUCACCCAUCCUAGAACAACUCUCGCCCAAGCACGCUUAACUAAAGGUCAAAAUUUGGAGUCGACAAAAAAUCAAUGGAUAAGUUCCAUUGUCCUGCUUCUUUCAUCGGAGGGCUCUCUUUGGGCUUUCCGAAAAGGUAUCACAUGCCAAGUUUGGCCUCACUCUAUAAGAGUUAUAGAGUCAUAAACUUUUAACCAAAGAAAAAAAAGGGAUGAAACACGAGGACUUCCCGGGAAGUCACCCAUCCUAGUAUUACUCUCACCCAAGCACGGUUAAUUGCGGAGUUCUGAUGGGAUCCGGUGUAUUAGUGCUGGUAUGAUCGCAUCCGUUAGUAUAUGCAAUGCAAUCGUAUAUAUUCUUUUUUGAAAACUUGAUGAACCGUUCACCAUAGGUUCCACCCGCUGUGUAGGGAUACCUCAUCUAGUCUUAACGAGCUUUGAUGCAUGGAAAAAUUCUAAAACAAUGCUUGAACAAGUAAUUUUGGGUCCGUAAUAUAGCCCAAAUCACAAAAAUACCCGAAGAAGUACUUAAAGGUCAAAAUUUGGGGUCGACAAAAAGUCAAUGGAAAAGUUCCUUUGUCCUGCUUCUUUCGUCGGAGGGCUCUCUUUGGGCUUUCCGAAAAGGUAUCACAUGCCAAGUUUGGCCUCACGGUAUAAAAGUUAUAGAGUCAUAAAGUUUUAACCAAAAAAAACAAAUUAAAAAAAAAGAGGGAUGCAACACGAGGACUUCCCGGGAGGUCUCCCAUCCUAAUACUACUCUCGCCCAAGCCCGCUUAACUGCGGAGUUCUGAUGGGAUCCGGUGUAUUAGUGCUGGUAUGAUCGCAUCCGUUAGUAUAUGCAAUGCAAUCUUAUAUAUUCUUUUUUGAAGACUUGAUGAACCAUUCUUCGUGGGUCCCACCCGCUGUGUAGGGAUACCCCAUCUAGUCUUAACGAGCUUUGCUGCAUUGAAAAAAUUCUAAAACAAUGCUUGAACAAGUAAUCUUGGGUCCGUAAUAUAUCCCAAAUCACAAAAAUACCCGAAAAAGUACUUAAAGGUCAAAAUUUGGGGUCGACAAAAAGUCAAUGGAAAAGUUCCUUUGUCCUGCUUCUUUCGUCGGAGGGCUCUCUUUGGGCUUUCCGAAAAGGUAUCACAUGUCAAGUUUGGCCUCACGGUAUAAAAGUUAUAGAGUCAUAAAGUUUUAACCAAAAAAAACAAAUUAAAAACAAAGAGGGAUACAACACGAGGACUUCUCGGGAGGUCACCCAUCCUAGUACUACUCUCGCCCAAGCACGCUUAACUAAAGGUCAAAAUUUGGAGUCGACAAAAAGUCAAUGGAUAUGUUCCAUUGUCCUGCUACUUUCAUCGUAGGGCUCUCUUUGAGCUUUUCGAAAAGGUAUCACAUGCCAAGUUUGGCCUGACGGUAUAAAAGUUAUAGAGUCAUAAAGUUUUAACCAAUAAAAAAAAUUAAAAAAAAAGAGUGAUGCAACACAAAGACUUCCCGGGAGGUCACCCAUCCUAGUACUACUCUCGCCCAAGCCCGCUUAACUGCGGAGUUCUGAUGGGAUCCGGUGUAUUAGUGCUGCUAUGAUCUUAUCUGUUAGUAUAUGCAAUGCAAUCGUAUAUAUUCUUUUUGGAAGAAUUGAUGAACCAUUCGCCGUGGGUCCCACCCGCUGUGUAGGGAUACCCCAUCUAGUCUUAACGAGCUUUGAUGCAUGAUAAAAUUCUAAAACAAUGCUUGAACAAGUAAUUUUGGAUCCGUAAUAUAGCCCAAAUCACAAAAAUACCCGAAAAAGUACUUAAAGGUCAAAAUUUGGGGUCGACAAAAAGUCAAUGAAAAAGUUCCUUUGUCCUGCUUCUUUCGUCGGAGGGCUCUCUUUGGGCUAUUCGAAAAGGUAUCACAUGCCAAGUUUGGCCUCACGGUAUAAAAGUUAUAGAGUCCUAAAGUUUUAACCAAAAAAAACAAAUUAAAAAAAAAGAGGGAUGCAACACGAGGACUUCCCGGGAGGUCACCCAUCCUAGUACUACUCUCGCCCAAGCACGCUUAACUAAAUGUCAAAAUUUGGAGUCGACAAAAAAUCAAUUGAUAUGUUCCAUUGUCCUGCUACUUUCAUCGGAGGGCUCUCUUUGGGCUUUCCGAAAAUGUAUCACAUGCCAAGUUUGGCCUCACUGUAUAAAAGUUAUACAGUCAUAAAGUUUUAACCAAAGAAAAAUAUUUAAAAAAAACGGAUGCAACACGAGGACUUCCCUGAGGUCACCAAUCCUAGUACUACUCUCGCCCAAGCACGCUUAACUACGGAGUUUUGAUGGGAUCUGGUGUAUUAGUGCUGGUAUAAUCUCAUCCGUUAGUAUAGGCAAUGCAAUGGUGUAUAUUCUUUUUUGAAGACUUGAUGAACCAUUCGUCGUGGGUCCCACCCGCUGUGUAGGGAUACCCCAUCUAGUCUUAACGAGCUUUGAUCAUGAAAAAAAUUCUAAAACAAUGCUUGAACAAGUAAUUUUGGGUCCGUAAUAUAGCCCAAAUCCCAAAAUACCCGAAAAAGUACUUAAAGGUCAAAAUUUGGGAUCGACAAAAAGUCAAUGGAAAAGUUCGUUUGUCCUGCUUCUUUCGUCGGAGGGCUCUCUUUGGGCUUUCCGAAAAGGUAUCACAUGCCAAGUUUGGCCUCACGGUAUAAAAGUUAUAGAAUCAUAAAGUUUUAACCAAAAAAAACAAAUUAAAAAAAAAGAGGGAUGCAACACGAGGACUUCCCGGGAGGUCACCCAUCCUAGUACUACUCUCGCCCAAGCACGCUUAACUAAAGGUUAAAAUUUGGAGUCGACAAAAAAUCAAUGGAUAUGUUCCAUUGUCCUGCUUCUUUCAUCGGAGAGCUCUCUUUGGGCUUUCCGAAAAGGUAUCACAUGCCAAGUUUGGCCUCACUGUAUAAAAGUUAUAGAGUCAUAAAGUUUUAACCAAUGAAAAAAAUUAAAAAAAAAGAGGGAUGCAACACGAGGACUUCCCGGGAGGUCACCCAUCCUAGUACUACUCUCGCCCAAGCCCCCUUAACUGCGGAGUUCUGAUGGGAUCCGGUGUAUUAGUGUUGGUAUGAUCUUAUCUGUUAGUAUAUGCAAUGCAAUCGUAUAUAUUCUUUUUGGAAGAAUUGAUGAACCAUUCGCCGUGGGUCCCACCCGCUGUGUAGGGAUACCCCAACUAGUCUUAACGAGCUUUGAUGCAUGAAAAAAUUCUAAAACAAUGCUUGAACAAGUUAUUUUGGGUCCGUAAUCUAGCCCAAAUCACAAAAAUGCCCGAAAAAGUACUUAAAGGUCAAAAUUUGUGGUCGGCAAAAAGUCAAAGGAAAAGUUCGUUUGUCCUGUUUCUUUCGUCGGAGGGUUCUCUUUGGGAUUUCCGAAAAGGUAUCACAUGCCUAGUUUGGCCUCACGGUAUAAAAGUUAUAGAGUCAUAAAGUUUUAACCAAAAAAAACAAAUUAAAAAAAAAGAGGGAUGCAACACGAGGACUUCCCGGGAGGUCACCCAUCCUAGUACAAUAUUCGCCCAAGCACGCUUAACUGCGGAGUUCUGAUGGGAUCUCGUGUAUUAGUGCUGGUAUGAUCGCAUACGUUAGUAUAUGCAAUGCAAUCGUAUAUAUUCUUUUUUGAAGACUUGAUGAACCAUUCGUCGUGGGUCGCACCCGCUAUGUAGGAUACCCCAUCUAGUCUUAACGAGCUUUGAAGCAUGAAAAAAUUCUAAAACAAUGAUUGAACAAGUAAUUUUGUGUCCGUAAUAUAGCCCAAAUCACAAAUAUGCCCGAAAAAGUACUUAAAGGUCAAAAUUUGGGAUCGACAAAAAGUCAAUAAAAUUGUUCCAUUGUCCUGCUUCUUUCGUCGGAGGGCUCUCUUUACGCUUUCCGAAAAGAUAUCACAUGCCAAGUUUGGCCUCACGGUAUAAAAAUUAUAGAGUCAUAAAGUUUUAACCAAAAAAAACAAUUUAAAAAAAAAGAAGGAUGAAACACGAGGGCUUCCCGGGAGGUCACCCAUCCUAGUACUACUCUCGCCCAAGCACGCUUAACUAAAGGUCAAAAUUUAGAGUCGACAAAAAAUCAAUGGAUAUGUUCCAUUGUCCUGCUUCUUUCAUCAGAGGGCUCUCUUUGGGCUUUCCGAAAAGGUAUCACAUGCCAAGUUUGGCCUCACUGUUUAAAAGUUGUAGAGUCAUAAAGUUUUAACCAAUGAAAAAAAUUUUUAAAAAAAGAGGGAUGCAACACGAGGACUUCCCAGGAGGUCACCCAUCCUAAUACUACUCUCGCUCAAGCACACUUAACUGCGGAGUUCUGAUGGGAUCCGGUGUAUUAGUGCUGGUAUGAUCUCAUCUGUUAGUAUAUGCAAUGCAAUCGUAUAUAUUCUUUUUGAAAGAAUUGAUGAACCUUCGCCGUGGGUCCCACCCGCUGUAUAGGGACACCCCAUCUAGUCUUAACGAGCUUUGAUGCAUAAAAAAAUUCUAAAACAAUGCUUUAACAAGUAAUUUUGGGUCCGUAAUAUAGCCCAAAUCACAAAAAUGCGCGAAAAAGUAUUUAAAGGUCAAAAUUUGGGUUCGACAAAAAGUCAAUGGAAAAGUUCGUUUGUCGUGCUUCUUUCGUCGGAAGGCUCUCUUUGGGAUUUCCGAAAAGGUAGCACAUGCCUAGUUUGGCCUCACGGUAUAAAAGUUAUAGAGUUAUAAAGUUUUAACCAAAAAAAACAAAUUAAAAAAAAAGAGGGAUGCAACACGAGGACUUCCCGGGAGGUCUCCCAUCCUAAUACUACUCUCGCCCAAGCCCGCUUAACUGCGGAGUUCUGAUGGGAUCCGGUGUUUUAGUGCUGGUAUGAUCGCAUCCGUUAGUAUAUGCAAUGCAAUCUUAUAUAUUCUUUUUUGAAGACUUGAUGAACCAUUCUUCGUGGGUCCCACCCGCUGUGUAGGGAUACCCCAUCUAGUCUUAACGAGCUUUGCUGCAUUGAAAAAAUUCUAAAACAAUGCUUGAACAAGUAAUCUUUGGUCCGUAAUAUAUCCCAAAUCACAAAAAUACCCGAAAAAGUACUUAAAGGUCAAAAUUUGGGGUCGACAAAAAGUCAAUGGAAAAGUUCCUUUGUCCUGCUUCUUUCGUCGGAGGGCUCUCUUUGGGCUUUCCGAAAAGGUAUCACAUGUCAAGUUUGGCCUCACGGUAUAAAAGUUAUAGAGUCAUAAAGUUUUAACCAAAAAAAACAAAUUAAAAACAAAGAGGGAUACAACACGAGGACUUCUCGGGAGGUCACCCAUCCUAGUACUACUCUCGCCCAAGCACGCUUAACUAAAGGUCAAAAUUUGGAGUCGACAAAAAGUCAAUGGAUAUGUUCCAUUGUCCUGCUACUUUCAUCGUAGGGCUCUCUUUGAGCUUUUCGAAAAGGUAUCACAUGCCAAGUUUGGCCUGACGGUAUAAAAGUUAUAGAGUCAUAAAGUUUUAACCAAUAAAAAAAAUUAAAAAAAAAGUGUGAUGCAACACGAAGACUUCCCGGGAGGUCACCCAUCCUAGUACUACUCUCGCCCAAGCCCGCUUAACUGCGGAGUUCUGAUGGGAUCCGGUGUAUUAGUGCUGCUAUGAUCUUAUCUGUUAGUAUAUGCAAUGCAAUCGUAUAUAUUCUUUUUGGAAGAAUUGAUGAACCAUUCGCCGUGGGUCCCACCCGCUGUGUAGGGAUACCCCAUCUAGUCUUAACGAGCUUUGAUGCAUGAUAAAAUUCUAAAACAAUGCUUGAACAAGUAAUUUUGGAUCCGUAAUAUAGCCCAAAUCACAAAAAUACCCGAAAAAGUACUUAAAGGUCAAAAUUUGGGGUCGACAAAAAGUCAAUGAAAAAGUUCCUUUGUCCUGCUUCUUUCGUCGGAGGGCUCUCUUUGGGCUAUUCGAAAAGGUAUCACAUGCCAAGUUUGGCCUCACGGUAUAAAAGUUAUAGAGUCCUAAAGUUUUAACCAAAAAAAACAAAUUAAAAAAAAAGAGGGAUGCAACACGAGGACUUCCCGGGAGGUCACCCAUCCUAGUACUACUCUCGCCCAAGCACGCUUAACUAAAUGUCAAAAUUUGGAGUCGACAAAAAAUCAAUUGAUAUGUUCCAUUGUCCUGCUACUUUCAUCGGAGGGCUCUCUUUGGGCUUUCCGAAAAUGUAUCACAUGCCAAGUUUGGCCUCACUGUAUAAAAGUUAUACAGUCAUAAAGUUUUAACCAAAGAAAAAUAUUAAAAAAAAAGGGAUGCAACACGAGGACUUCCCUGAGGUCACCAAUCCUAGUACUACUCUCGCCCAAGCACGCUUAACUACGGAGUUUUGAUGGGAUCUGGUGUAUUAGUGCUGGUAUAAUCUCAUCCGUUAGUAUAGGCAAUGCAAUGGUGUAUAUUCUUUUUUGAAGACUUGAUGAACCAUUCGUCGUGGGUCCCACCCGCUGUGUAGGGAUACCCCAUCUAGUCUUAACGAGCUUUGAUCAUGAAAAAAAUUCUAAAACAAUGCUUGAACAAGUAAUUUUGGGUCCGUAAUAUAGCCCAAAUCACAAAAUACCCGAAAAAGUACUUAAAGGUCAAAAUUUGGGAUCGACAAAAAGUCAAUGGAAAAGUUCGUUUGUCCUGCUUCUUUCGUCGGAGGGCUCUUUUUGGGCUUUCCGAAAAGGUAUCACAUGCCAAGUUUGGCCUCACGGUAUAAAAGUUAUAGAAUCAUAAAGUUUUAACCAAAAAAAACAAAUUAAAAAAAAAGAGGGAUGCAACACGAGGACUUCCCGGGAGGUCACCCAUCCUAGUACUACUCUCGCCCAAGCACGCUUAACUAAAGGUUAAAAUUUGGAGUCGACAAAAAAUCAAUGGAUAUGUUCCAUUGUCCUGCUUCUUUCAUCGGAGAGCUCUCUUUGGGCUUUCCGAAAAGGUAUCACAUGCCAAGUUUGGCCUCACUGUAUAAAAGUUAUAGAGUCAUAAAGUUUUAACCAAUGAAAAAAAUUAAAAAAAAAGAGGGAUGCAACACGAGGACUUCCCGGGAGGUCACCCAUCCUAGUACUACUCUCGCCCAAGCCCCCUUAACUGCGGAGUUCUGAUGGGAUCCGGUGUAUUAGUGUUGGUAUGAUCUUAUCUGUUAGUAUAUGCAAUGCAAUCGUAUAUAUUCUUUUUGGAAGAAUUGAUGAACCAUUCGCCGUGGGUCCCACCCGCUGUGUAGGGAUACCCCAACUAGUCUUAACGAGCUUUGAUGCAUGAAAAAAUUCUAAAACAAUGCUUGAACAAGUUAUUUUGGGUCCGUAAUCUAGCCCAAAUCACAAAAAUGCCCGAAAAAGUACUUAAAGGUCAAAAUUUGUGGUCGGCAAAAAGUCAAAGGAAAAGUUCGUUUGUCCUGUUUCUUUCGUCGGAGGGUUCUCUUUGGGAUUUCCGAAAAGGUAUCACAUGCCUAGUUUGGCCUCACGGUAUAAAAGUUAUAGAGUCAUAAAGUUUUAACCAAAAAAAACAAAUUAAAAAAAAAGAGGGAUGCAACACGAGGACUUCCCGGGAGGUCACCCAUCCUAGUACAAUAUUCGCCCAAGCACGCUUAACUGCGGAGUUCUGAUGGGAUCUCGUGUAUUAGUGCUGGUAUGAUCGCAUACGUUAGUAUAUGCAAUGCAAUCGUAUAUAUUCUUUUUUGAAGACUUGAUGAACCAUUCGUCGUGGGUCGCACCCGCUAUGUAGGAUACCCCAUCUAGUCUUAACGAGCUUUGAAGCAUGAAAAAAUUCUAAAACAAUGAUUGAACAAGUAAUUUUGUGUCCGUAAUAUAGCCCAAAUCACAAAUAUGCCCGAAAAAGUACUUAAAGGUCAAAAUUUGGGAUCGACAAAAAGUCAAUAAAAUUGUUCCAUUGUCCUGCUUCUUUCGUCGGAGGGCUCUCUUUACGCUUUCCGAAAAGAUAUCACAUGCCAAGUUUGGCCUCACGGUAUAAAAAUUAUAGAGUCAUAAAGUUUUAACCAAAAAAAACAAUUUAAAAAAAAAGAAGGAUGAAACACGAGGACUUCCCGGGAGGUCACCCAUCCUAGUACUACUCUCGCCCAAGCACGCUUAACUAAAGGUCAAAAUUUAGAGUCGACAAAAAAUCAAUGGAUAUGUUCCAUUGUCCUGCUUCUUUCAUCAGAGGGCUCUCUUUGGGCUUUCCGAAAAGGUAUCACAUGCCAAGUUUGGCCUCACUGUUUAAAAGUUGUAGAGUCAUAAAGUUUUAACCAAUGAAAAAAAUUUUUAAAAAAAGAGGGAUGCAACACGAGGACUUCCCAGGAGGUCACCCAUCCUAAUACUACUCUCGCUCAAGCACACUUAACUGCGGAGUUCUGAUGGGAUCCGGUGUAUUAGUGCUGGUAUGAUCUCAUCUGUUAGUAUAUGCAAUGCAAUCGUAUAUAUUCUUUUUGAAAGAAUUGAUGAACCUUCGCCGUGGGUCCCACCCGCUGUAUAGGGACACCCCAUCUAGUCUUAACGAGCUUUGAUGCAUAAAAAAAUUCUAAAACAAUGCUUUAACAAGUAAUUUUGGGUCCGUAAUAUAGCCCAAAUCACAAAAAUGCGCGAAAAAGUAUUUAAAGGUCAAAAUUUGGGUUCGACAAAAAGUCAAUGGAAAAGUUCGUUUGUCGUGCUUCUUUCGUCGGAAGGCUCUCUUUGGGAUUUCCGAAAAGGUAGCACAUGCCUAGUUUGGCCUCACGGUAUAAAAGUUAUAGAGUUAUAAAGUUUUAACCAAAAAAAACAAAUUAAAAAAAAGAGGGAUGCAACACGAGGACUUCCCGGGAGGUCACCCAUCCUAGUACUACUCUCGCCCAAGCACGCUUAACGAAAGGUCAAAAUUUGGAGUCGACAAAAACUCAAUACAUAUGUUCCAUUGUCCUGCUUCUUUCAUCGGAGGGCUUUCUUUGGGCUUUCCGAAAAGGUAUCACAUGCCUAGUUUGGCCUCUCGGUAUAAAAGUUAUAGAGUCAUAAAGUUUUAACCAAAGAAAAAAAUUAAAAAAAAAGAGAGAUACAACACGAGGACUUCCCGGGAGGUCACCCAUCCUAGUACUACUCUCGCCCAAGCAUGCUUAACUGCGGAUUUCUGAUGGGAUCCGGUGUAUUAGUGCUGGUAUGAUCGCAUCCGUUAGUAUAUGCAAUGCAAUCGUAUAUAUUCUUUUUUGAAGACUUGAUGAACCAUUCGCCGUGGGUCGCACCCGCUAUGUAGGGAUACCCCAUCUAGUCUUAACGAGCUUUGAUGCAUGAUAAAAUUCUAAUACAAUGAUUGAACAAGUAAUUUUGGGUCCGUAAUAUAGCCCAAAUCACAAAUAUGACCGAAAAAGUACUUAAAGGUCAAAAUUUGGGAUCGACAAAAAGUCAAUGAAAUUGUUCCAUUGUCCUGCUUCUUUCGUCGGAGGGCUCUCUUUACGCUUUCCGAAAAGGUAUCACAUGCCAAGUUUGGCCUCACGGUAUAUAAGUUAUAGAGUCAUAAAGUUUUAACCAAAAAAAACAAAUUAAAAAAAAAGAAGGAUGCAACACGAGGACUUCCCGGGAGGUCACCCAUCCUAGUACUACUCUCGCCCAAGCACGCUUAACUAAAGGUCAAAAUUUGGAGUCGACAAAAAAUCAAUGGAUAAGUUCCAUUGUCCUGCUUCUUUCAUCGGAAGGCUCUCUUUGGGCUUUCCGAAAAGGUAUCACAUGCCAAGUUUGGCUUGACGGUAUAAAAGUUAUAUAGUCAUAAAGUUUUAACAAAAAAAAAACAAAUUAAAAAAAAAGAGGGAUGCAACACGAGGACUUCUCGGGAGGUCACCCAUCCUAGUACUACUCUCGCCCAAGCACGCUUAACUAAAGGUCAAAAUUUGGAGUCGACAAAAACUCAAUACAUAUGUUCCAUUGUCCUGCUUCUUUCAUCUGAGGGCUCUCUUUGGCUUUCCGAAAAGGUAUCACAUGCCAAGUUUGGCCUCACUAUAUAAAAGUUAUAGAGUCAUAAAGUUUUAACCAAUGAAACAAAUUAAAAAAAACAGAGAGAUGCAACACGAGGACUUCCCGGGAGGUCACCCAUCCUAGUACUACUCUCGCCCAAGCACGCUUAACUGCGGAGUUCUGAUGGGAUCCAGUGUAUUAGUGUUAGUAUGAUCGCAUCCGUUAGUAUAUGGAAUGCAAUCGUAUAUAUUCUUUUUUGAAGACCUGAUAAACCAUUCGCCGUGGGUCGCACCCGCUAUGUAGGGAUACCCCAUCUAGUCUUAACGAGCUUUGAAGCAUGCAAAAAUUCUAAAACAAUGCUUCAACAAGUAAUUUUGGGUCCGUAAUAUAGCCCAAAUCACAAAUAUGCCCGAAAAAGUACUUAAAGGUCAAAAUUUGGGAUCGACAAAAAGUCAAUGAAAUUGUUCCGUUGUCUUGCUUCUUUUGUCGGAAGGCUCUCUUUACGCUUUCCGAAAAGGUAUCACAUGCCAAGUUUGACCUCACGGUAUAAAAGUUAUAGAGUCAUAAAGUUUUAACCAAAAAAAACAAAUUAAAAAAAAAAGAAGGAUGCAACACGAGGACUUCCCGGGAGGUCACCCAUCCUAAUACUACUCUCGCCCAAGCACGCUUAACUAAAGGUCAAAAUUUGGAGUCGACAAAAAAUCAAUGGAUAAGUUCCAUUGUCCUGCUUCUUUCAUCGGAGGGCUCUCUUUGGGCUUUCCGAAAAGGUAUCAGAUGCCAAGUUUGGCCUGACGGUAUAAAAGUUAUAGAGUCAUAAAUUUUUAACAAAAAAAAAACAAAUUAAUAAAAAAGAGGGAUGCAACACGAGGACUUCCCGGGAGGUCACCCAUCCUAGUACUACUCUAGCCCAAGCACGCUUAACUAAAGGUCAAAAUUUGGAGUCGACAAAAACUCAAUACAUAUGUUCCAUUGUCCUGCUUCUUUCAUCCGAGGGCUCUCUUUGGGCUUUCCGAAAAAGGUAUCACAUGCCAAGUUUGGCCUCACUGUAUAAAAGUUAUAGAGUCAUAAAGUUUUAACCAAAGAAAAAAAUUAAAAAAAAAAGAGGGAUGCAAGACAAGGACUUCCCGGGAGGUCACCCAUCUUAGUACUACUCUCGCCCAAGCACGCUUAACUACGGUGUUCUGAUGGGAUCCGGUGUAUUAGUGCUGGUAUGAUCACAUCCGUUAGUAUAUGCAAUGCAAUCGUAUAUAUUCUUUUUGGAAGAAUUGAUGAACCAUUCGCCAUGGGCCCCAUCCGCUAUGUAGGGAUACCCCAUCUAGUCUUAACGAGCUUUGAUGCAUGAAAAAAUUCUAAAACAAUGCUUGAACAAGUAAUUUUUGGUCCGUAAUAUAGCCCAAAUCACAAAAAUACGCGAAAAGUACUUAAAGGUCAAAAUUUAGGGUCGACAAAAAGUCAAUGGAAAAGUUUGUUUGUCCUGCUUCUUUCGUCGGAGGGCUCUCUUUGGGCUUUCCGAAAAGGUAUCACAUGCCAAGUUUGGCCUCACGGUAUAAAAGUUAUAGAAUCAUAAAGUUUUAACCAAAAAAAACAAAUUAAAAAAAAACAGGGAUGCAACACGAGGAGUUCCCAGGAGGUCACCCAUCCUAGUACUACUCUCGCCCAAGCAUGCUUAACAAAAGGUUAAAAUUUAGAGUCGACAAAAAAUCAAUGGAUAUGUUCCAUUGUCCUGCUUCUUUCAUCGGAGGGCUCUCUUUGGGCUUUCCGAAAAUGUAUCACAUGCCAAGUUUGGCCUCACUGUAUAAAAGUUAUAGAGUCAUAAAGUUUUAACCAAAGAAAAAAAUUAAAAAAAAGAGGGAUGAGACACGAGGACUUCCCGGGAGGUCAUCCAUCUUAGUACUACUCUCGCCCAAGCACGCUUAACUGCGGAGUUCUGAUGGGAUCCGGUGUAUUAGUGCUGGUAUGAUCACAUCCGUUAGUAUAUGCAAUACAAUCGUAUAUAUUGUUUUUUGAAGACUUGAUGAACCAUUUGCCAUAGGUCUCAUCCGCUAUGUAGGGAUACCUCAUCUACUCUUAACGAGCUUUGAUGCAUGAAAAAAUUCUAAAACAAUGCUUGAACAAGUAAUUUUGGGUUCGUAAUAUAACCCAAAUCACAAAAAUACCCGAAAAAGUACUUAAAGGUCAAAAUUUGGGGUCGACAAAAAGUCAAUGGAAAAGUUCCUUUGUCCUGCUUCUUUCGUCGGAGGGCUCUUUUUGGGCUUUCCGAAAAGUUAUUACAUGCCAAGUUUGGCCUCACGGUAUAAAAGUUAUAGAGUCAUAAAGUUUUAACCAAAGAAAAAAAUUAAAAAAAAGAGGGAUGCAACACGAGGACUUCCCGGGAGGUCACCCAUCCUAGUACUACUCUUGCCCAAGCACGCUUAACUGCGGAGUUCUGAUGUGAUCCAGU
Molecule: long non-coding RNA, 19531 nt
Filed under: Arabidopsis thaliana (thale cress)
Lineage: Eukaryota; Viridiplantae; Streptophyta; Magnoliopsida; Brassicales; Brassicaceae
Description: long non-coding RNA (ATHA_LNC000426)
Source: RNAcentral